This 2933-nucleotide long non-coding RNA is filed under the name Salmo salar (Atlantic salmon). RNAcentral describes it as "lncRNA (ENSSSAG00000097993.1)". The record is from RNAcentral. Lineage: Eukaryota; Metazoa; Chordata; Actinopteri; Salmoniformes; Salmonidae.
CUCAUCUGCACAGUGCAAUGGGUGGAGCGUAUCCAUGGGUUACCGGACGGGACAAGGGUGCAGGAGCAAGCAGAGUAACCCUCUAGACCUUUUUUAAAGGAAAGACAAGCCAACUGCUGGUCUACAUUUACUUAAUGAAGAACAAAAACACCUCUGUCCAGGUUGGCAACAGUGGCAGAUGUCUUUUCCACUAACGUACCCCGUGGACGAUAUGAUACAUGGCUGGCAUCGACUCCCCCAACCUGGGACGGUUGACCUUCGGGCCUUCCUGGACUCUGAGCAGCGGAGGAGAGAUCUGGAUGUCAGUCUGGCUCAGGUCCAAAAUGCCCUGCAGGAACAGAGGGUCAGAAUGCUCCAGAGAAUGGGCCCAGGGAGCCGACAUAAACUACCCCAGAUACUUGUUUUGAAUCUUGGGCAGAUCAAUCGACCAGUAAACCUCCAUCCUAGUCUGUUAUCAGAGAACAUCUACAUCCCACCAUAUGGUGACCUUUACACAAGAGUGGGCAGGCUAGAGAUUGACUCAGAGAUCAUUAGCGCCCAACUGGACCAGGUUCUCUGUUCUAGGGGAAGGUGUCUCUACAGGAAUGGACCCUCACCCCAACAGGACAGCUUGACUCCUUGUCAGAGGGAGGACCAUAGUAUGACCUCUCAGCUUAUUGCUCAAGCAGUGGACAAAGGACAACUUCUGAAAGAGCGAGACAACCUUGAGCGUCUGCUGGAGGAAUCCAGGGCCCAGCAGCAGCUGAUGGAGCAGAAGAGGGAGGCCCAGAUAGCAGCCCUUCACUCCCAGCUGUACCAGGCACGCUCCAGCCUCCAGGAGACCCACAGAGAGACACUGGCCACACAGGCAGAGCUACAUGGCAGCAAGCAGAUAAAUGAGUCCCUGCUACAGGAGGUGGCGUCUCUCAGACGGAGGCCCGGGGCUGCGGAGGAGCGGGCCUCCCUGAUGGAGAGUGACGGACGCCUGCUCAGGGCUCGCAUAGCAGCACUGGAGACUGAGCGGGAGGAGCUGCUUCAACAAGGAGACCUCGCCACAGGGAGACGACGCUCCUCAGCCUUUGGGACGGAGAGAAGGGGCUGGGAUUGGUCGAUCGCUGGAAUCCAUGGCAGCACGAGCCAAUAGAAGCCAAUCAAAUGACGGCGCUGGUCAUAGAGCUGCAGCAGCUGAGAACGGCCUGUGAAGAGACAUCAUCAACACUACCGGUCUCCCCCAAGGACCAGAGGGCCAGAGAGUGGAUGUGAAAGAGCUGCUCUGCUCGAGGACUGUGUGGGGGAGAUGGAUUGGGAGGGGCUGGCUUUCCUGGAGAGAGACUGUGGAGUUCUUCGGGUGGUACCUCCAGGAUCAUUGGCAAGAAGUAACCCACCACAUUCACACUGAUCCUUGACUAUGUAGGCCCACAUUUCCAUAUUCUCCACAAUCAUGUACGCUUUCUUUUACAAAAACACGUCUGUUUGCGUAUGCAAUAAAUUAUGUCUGAAUCAAAACGGCAGGAAGCGAUCCGCUGAGGCCCUGCGUAUUAAAUUGUGGUCUCAAGUACGUCCUCAAGAACUCCUUUCAUGUUUACCUGACAUCAAUCACCCGCAUUGUGAACUGUGUACAACAUUUAGUUUGUCAGUUUAAAAUAAAUAUUGGACUGACUCUAAUACAACUCCACUAUCCCUAGGCCUUUAUGGGUAUACCAGUUGGACAGACAAAUACCCCUCAAGGAUCUCACCCCCUCCUAUCCUUUACUUGUGUUAUGCCUGUACACAAGCUUAGUUGGAAAAAGGCAGGUAUUUUUCAGGCUCCAUUGUAUAGGCUAACCUGUCAAAACAUAUUCCAAAGAUUACACAAUUUACAGUUGGCCUGCAUGCACAUUUUGUCUAAACAGCGAACAAAUAUUUACUGUGGCUGGGUGUGUGGAGGAAUUAGUCACUUCCUUGAAUGGGUCUUGCUCAAUGUUAGACCUAAUGGUCAUUGCAUACUGUGUGGUUUGCUCUUGUGAUUGGUUUGAUACCCCUCCCUCACAGUACAGGAGGUGAUUUCCUGCAUACUUUCAUCAUCUGAGUCUGACUUGCCUGUACAUCACAGCUAGCAAAUGUAAAUUAUGGUGGUGUGCCCUUUUGUGGACAAGUUAUUCAUUUUUUUAUUAAUCAAUGUGACUUCUUAAUCAAUACAGUUAAAUUACUUCUUUAUUUCACAUAAAAUAAGAAUAGAGUAGAUAUUAUCAAUCAAGGACAUUGUCCUUGCUCAUGGGUACAAAAUAUGUAAAAUAAAUGAUCAGCGUAGGUGUUGACUGCUGUGAUUGUUCACACUGGGGUCAAAAUCCCCUUCAACUGCUAAGAUCAAACGACUUGACCCACACGUGCCAGUUCAUCCCCACCACCAUCUCAAAGGGGACAUUUUUUUUCUUCCCCCAGAUCCUUGGCUAUCUCACUCUGGGGUGCCAGCAGCCUGAAUGGCAAGAGGACCAUUACUAUUUAGAACCAGGGGUUGUGUUGAGCGGCGCAACUUUACAAAAUGGAGGAAGACUAGUGACAUCAAACUUUUAAAUUGAAUGACCUGCUGUUCAAGUUAAAAGGUCAUGCCACCUGGAGGUAUAAAGAGGCGUUUGUGACAAUACUGACCUGCACAUUUGGUCUAUUCCUCUUGGUAUGUCCCUCGUAGGAGAGUGACGCUUGCUCACUCCCCCCUUCCCCCCUAAAUUCACCUUGACGAUGUCACCUGACUUGGCAGUUACGAUGCCAAACUCUUUCCCCUUUCGCUGGAACAUACUGGGAGAGAAAAUAAGCAGUGAAUCCACACUUGAGUAGAACCGUGUAACAUAGGUUAGUACAUAAUGGAGCAGGCAUAAACGGUUCAUUCUGGUCAUUUAAAAAAAAUUGACUAGUCUUAGUCGUUUUGACUAAAAUAUUAAGUCUGUCACAUUUUUGUCAUGAAUAAUGAUUUAGUC